RNAcentral lists this ribosomal RNA (253 nucleotides) under uncultured bacterium. Its description in RNAcentral is "partial 16S ribosomal RNA". It matches the Rfam family "Bacterial small subunit ribosomal RNA", at positions 524 to 776 of the family's 1533-position model. The record is from RNAcentral.
UACGUAGGGUGCAAGCGUUGUCCGGAAUUAUUGGGCGUAAAGAGCUCGUAGGCGGUUUGUCACGUCGGAUGUGAAAUCCCGAGGCUUAACCUCGGGCCUGCAUUCGAUACGGGCUGACUAGAGUUCGGUAGGGGAGACUGGAAUUCCUGGUGUAGCGGUGAAAUGCGCAGAUAUCAGGAGGAACACCGGUGGCGAAGGCGGGUCUCUGGGCAGUAACUGACGCUGAGGAGCGAAAGCGUGGGGAGCGAACAGG